GAUGAACGCUGGCGGCGUGCUUAACACAUGCAAGUCGAACGAAGCACCUAAGUUGAUUUCUUCGGAUUGAUUCUUAGGUGACUUAGUGGCGGACGGGUGAGUAACGCGUGGGUAACCUGCCUCGUACAGGGGGAUAACAGUUAGAAAUGACUGCUAAUACCGCAUAACCCGCUAGGAUCGCAUGAUCCGGACGGAAAAGAUUUAUCGGUACGAGAUGGACCCGCGUCUGAUUAGCUAGUUGGUGAGGUAACGGCCCACCAAGGCGACGAUCAGUAGCCGGUCUGAGAGGAUGAACGGCCACAUUGGGACUGAGAUACGGCCCAGACUCCUACGGGAGGCAGCAUGGGGAAUAUUGGGCAAUGGGGGAAACCCUGACCCAGCAACGCCGCGUGAAGGAAGAAGGCCUUCGGGUU
Molecule: ribosomal RNA, 413 nt
Filed under: uncultured bacterium
Lineage: Bacteria
Description: bacterial SSU rRNA
Rfam family: Bacterial small subunit ribosomal RNA
Source: RNAcentral